Molecule: long non-coding RNA, 3441 nt
Organism: Clupea harengus (Atlantic herring)
Lineage: Eukaryota; Metazoa; Chordata; Actinopteri; Clupeiformes; Clupeidae
Source: Ensembl
GUUGGUUCUUUUGUUUUUGUUUUUGUUUUUGUGUGUGUGUGUGUGUGUUUUUAUUGUCUUUUGUCUGUGCAUGAGUGAUAAGGAAACCACCCACUGAUACAUUGACAAAAUGAACACUGACAGACAGCCGGGCGCUGGUGUUCAUCCCAUGCCAACCAGAUGGAGAUGUUUGAUAGUAUUCCACCUCAAACCUGAUUUGGCAAAUAUAGAUCCAGUAGACGUAGAGUGUGCAGUUAACACUGGUUUAUUUUUAUGGCAAAUAUUAGCUAUGUACCUAUAUCCUCUGAUAUCUGUAACUUGUGCCUCUGGACUCCUAUAGAUAUGCUAUAUUGCAUAGUGCUAAUUGUUUUUCAAUUCUUUCCUUGAUGGAGAAAUGGGUACAUCUUCGCUCUGUCUGCCAGGGGUAAUAUAUAUCAACUUGUUUAUGAGCUAUCAGAGAAAAAAAAAAGCACACUUGUAGCGUAGGAAGCACUAGCGUCGAUUCAUUCUUUAAUCUUUAAAGCAAAUAGAUGCACAGGCAGCCAUACAAAGUUGUAAGUAUAGUUUUAAAUGUUUAAAGUAAUUUUCUGUAGCCAAGUAGCAUUGGUGCAUUAAUGUAUAGACAAAAGUUAUUGCUUAAAAAUAUAUACUGUGAUCUCAUCAUCCAAUCUGUCAAUCCUUCUGAUAUACGCAGCUUGAAAUCAGAAAAAAAACUAUCUAUAUAGUAUAUAUAUAUAUAUGAGUGAUGUGAGAUGUGUAUGACAAACAAUUUUUCUUAUCAGCUGUUGUGGCUGUUUCUUGAAAAAUGUACACUUUUAAAAAGAGUUAUGUGUGUUGACGUAAUGUGUGCUAGUGAUGUUGAAUCCCAGCAAUGUUAUGAGCAGUUGCUAAAGGUUAGUUGAGUAGAGUAGAGUAGAGUAAAAUAGGAUUAGAAAAAAAAAAUAGUUUUGUCUGAAAUCCUGUGGUAGAUGUAUGGGGACCACUUCUCCAUUUGAACUCUUUGUCUCUUGUACUAUGUAUCUUCAUGCAACAGGGUCUCAGGUAUACUUGAUUUAAUUGGCCUUAUUUUCAUAGUUGUACAAUAGACAUCAAUAUUUGGGAACCUGGGUGUGCCUCCAGGUGCUCUUAAAUCUGAAUAAUCAAACCACAAAAAAGCUGAGAUCUGAGAUGUAACAUGAUUCUGUGUGAUGUCUGUGUAGAUCUUAAAAAUAGCACCCAAAUAUGUUAUUUGAUUAGACACAAGAUAUUGAUAAUGGUUGGCUACAUAUAUAGAAAGUCCUUUUUCCCUUUAAUGUUUUAAAGCUGGUGGGAAAAUGCAUUGAAAUGCAUUCAGAAAUCUUAUGCUCAUUAUGCGCGUUAGUGGCCAUGGACGUUGAGUUACAAUCACUGCUCAGCAUCCAGUUGUUGUGGGAGGUUGUGAUUACUGCGAGCAGAAGGACCUCUUUCUGUGUCUGGCUUUGGUCUUCUCUGGUCAGAUUCUUCCCUGUGCGCUGACAUCAUCCCGCACCAAUCACGGGGAGCAUUCCCACAUUCCAAAGCAAUCGGAGUGAUUUGUUUAAACAGCAGACAAGGGAAAUGAGCUUGCCUUCGCAAAACGUAAACAGGUCUUGAUUAAAAUGGCCCACUGUUGAUUCAUGGGACCGAGAGUCCUGGAGGCAUGAGCCUACCGAACGGGCUGUGGAGUUAAUUGGAGUCUGCGUAUACAAUGCAAGCAAUAUGGCAGCCGUAACACUGAGAUUUACGGGUCCGCUCGGGCCGAUGCAUGCGUUUUCAUAGCCAUGAAAUGAAGGGCAACGCACAAGCGUGUUCCACUAAUCAUGGCUUAACAGUGCAGUGACAUACACAUGAACCUUGAGGGACAAGAGGGACAAAAAAUCGCUUUAUUAUAUGUGCAAAAAUGUUGCUUUUCCCAGUGAUGUUUAGUGUUCUUUAUCUGUGUUUUGUUUUGAUUGUCUGUAUAUGUGUGUGUGUGUGUGUGUGUGUGUGUUUGUAUGUCUGCGUGUGUAUGUUUGUGUGUGUGUGCAGCUUUAGACGUAUCUAACUGAUUUCAUCAAUACUUAACCAGCCAACCAGCUCCGGGCAUGGUCCGAUGCAGGCCGGUGUGUUGGGAAAAAAAAGGAUGGAAGCUGUAAUGUAUCUGCAAUGGAAGUUCACAGCAUAUCUGUGAACUGUUCUUUAUAUAGUACAGUAUUACUUAUUUAAAUGGUUGCCUUUCAGACCACCCUUGUGGAUCUGACCUGAAAAUAAAUUCUGUGACAGAUGCCAGAGGGCUGGAUGACUGAAGCAGCAAUUCAGCUUCUUUACUUAUUCAUCAGUCUUCGAAAACACCAGUGUGUUCCAGGGCUGCUCCAGUUGUUCCAAUGCAACUGGUUUAACUGGGACCUGAUCAACCUAAAAUUCAUACUUAAAACAGUUUACCAAGGUCAAUUCUUAAGGAUUGUGUUAUCGGCAUCGGCCAAUAGUUUAAAAGUUACCAUAGGUGCUGGUUGGAAUGCGUUUAUCAGUCCUUGUGUUCAUAUAUUUUGUCAUUAGGGCCUAUUCAGUAAUGCUAAUCAAAUACUCUGAGCAAAUAGUUAUCUGGCUUGCAUGCGCUGUUUGUGUUGCUGUGUUCCUUUGUCCAUGUGUGGUUGUGCCCAGCCCUUCCCCACUGCCCUUGCAUGUGUGCUCUCACCAGCCGCUUGAGCUGAGCUUCCCAUCACUUCCGUCCAUGAAUGAGUGAGGGGAUGAUGGUGUGAUCCGAUUUUUCCCUUCACAGCGAUGAAAGUCAUCACUUUAAUGCCUAUGGGACAACACUGGGCAGUAGGUAACCAAAGAAGGAGAAUGUCAUGAAGCGUUCUAAUGGAAGACGAAUGUGAAUGGAAAUGGAACAAAUAUAUUCCAUGUGUUUAGGAGACUGAGAUACUGCCACUCAUGUUCCAUUUAGUGGUCAUUAAUCUUUGCCAAUACGUUACAACACAUCUUCAGGUAACCAUUGGCCUUAUAGAUGUCCUCUGAUAUUAAACUAUUGUAUGUAUUUCCAACAUAAAGAUACAGAGUAGCUUAUAGCUGUCAUAUAUAUCAAAACUCAAAUGUAAUGUAUGUUGUGUCUUUUGGCACUUUAUUGUGGACCUAUCACUGCAUAGGUUAAAUUUCUAAUUACUUGGGUAAUGUCAUAAAUUUCUGUGUUCUAUGUGAGGUACACCUGCCUAUGGAUACAGACAUGUACCUCAAACAGACCAUGACAUUCUUUGGUUUUAAAAUAGAGUAUAAAUAUAUAAUGAAAAAAAGUUUUAAAUUCUGUGCCAGAAAAAAAGAGAAAGUUAUCAUAUAUGUGAAAUGCAUAGUUUAUUUUAAAUGUCAUUAAUUAUUGAGGCCCUACCUCAGAUUUUGUAUUUAUGUAUAGAGAUGCAAUUAAAGUAUAGUAUCUUUGCCAAUAAUAUAAUAAUAAAAAUACCAUAAUUAUCAUGAAAUGUAUAACCUCUA